GUUUUCACCUGGAACCUGGAGGAUGAGCAAUGACAUCUCUCCACCCUGAGCUCAGCCCCGGCAUCCACCUCCUGGGCUCAUGAGCAGUGCAGUGGUGCCUCCUAGUGGUCUCUGCUCUUCCUUUUCCAGAUCAAGCACAAACCUGAGAUCCAACUGUCCCUCUUAUGCGCCUGGGUUUCUUCACUGGACACCAGUAUGAGUCAACUUUCCUGUAAAGCAGAACAAGCACGAGAUUGGACCAUGUUAGAGGAGGAAUGGUGUCAUCUCCACUUCUGGAGAGAUCACUGUCCCCGUGUUUGGGGGAAGGACCAAGCCUCACUCCCAUGCAGAGAAGAAGCUCUGACUGUAACUGCACCUGUGGAGAGGUGAGGACCUGUCCCCUCUACACCGAUGGCCAGAGCCUCCAGAGUGGGGCCAGGCUUUUCCCUCAGCUGUGUCCUGUCAGGUUUAUCUAGGCCUCAAAGAAUAGACCCUGGACAUUGCCUCUGGCAAUGUGAGCUGGACACACACCCAGAUGUAAGGUAGCCCUGCCAAGUAUCCUGGGGUUGCCAGUAGUUCUGGGUGCUCAGUGUCUGGAGCGGAGGGUGGGAAGGAGGCUUGAUGCAGAACAAGAACCAUAUGUCACAUACUAUUUUAUUCUUUAUUAGUGUUUUUGUCAUAAAAAACCCCACGGGUACCAUAAAAGAUAAAAGAUCUAAAAAUGGUGCCCUUUAAUCAAAAGUAAACACCCUUUAACCAUCAGAGAGAGGGAGAAGUUUGGCAGCUGACCUAGAAGCCCCAUCAACUGCCCCAGCUCAAUGAUAAACUCUUCUCUUCUUCAAAUAAAAGCACAUCCUGGCUUACAUGGCCAUCACUUCUUUGUACAAUUUUAUAUUUUUAUCAUCUAAAGUUAUAGUUUAGUUUUACCUUUAAGAGUAUAUUUUUAUCCUCAUUUAUUCCAUAGAUUCCUGCUUGAAAUUUAUAUUGUCUGGUAGUUUCCUGUCCUUUGCAUUUUGCAGAUUGCACCCCAAGGUGUGGUUUAAUGUAUCUCUAUGACCUGUAUUUUCUGUAAAUUGGUAGUUUGUUAUAGAGGUUUGCGUCUAUUCAGGGUUUUUUUUUUUUUUUUUUUUUUUGCCAUGAGGAUUGAUGGUACUAUAUCAUGUUUUUCAUCAAGAGGAAGAAUUCAAUACUAGUUAUUUCUUUUUUGUGAUGUUAAUUGCCAUUGCUGUUCAGUGGCUAAAUCUGUUAAUUCAUUACAAAUUGCAAAAGUCUCAGUCUUUCAUUUCUUUUCAUAUACUAGCUGCAUAAUUUCUAAAAUAAAAGAUUUACCCUCUUCCACCAGUUAUCUAUUCAGUAGAAACUUGUUUUUUGAGAGACUAAACCAAGUUUCUAAUCACCUAUGACCCAGCAAUUCCACUUUUUGUUAUAUACCAAUAGAAAUGCAUGCAUUUGUGUCCCAAAAUAUAUGAAAAUAUUAUUUAUAGCAGCACGAUUUGUAGACUCUGAAUACAACACAAAUGUCUAUCAACAGUGGAGAGACAAGAAGUGUGAGCUAUUUAUAAAGCUGAGCACCUGACUGCCACGGGAGUGAUAGUGACCACACACAGCAAGACCUGGGACAUGGCAGUGACUGUGUCCAGAACUGACAGAACUAAUCUAUCAUAUUAGAAAUCAAGAAAGUGUCUGCUCUAGGGUUGGGGAGGGUGAUUUAUGACCAAGUAGAACCCAAUGGUGUUUCCUGGAGGCUGGAAAUGCUAUUCCUUGAUGUGGCUGCUAUUUACCUGAGUGUUCACUUUGUGAAAAUCCACGGCCCACUUAUGGUUUGUCCACCUUUCUCCAUGCAUGUUGUCCUUCAUUCAAGUAUACAUUUCUGAUGUUUUGAAACAAUUCUCUCUAAGCUAAUAUAGAAUCUCCAUUACUGAAAGUCCUUAGAAAUGCUGCAUUGGAAAAAAUUAGUCCAAUUAUUAAAAAUCUAUGAAAUAAAUGCUGUGACUCAGACAUUAAGAGGAGAAUCUACAACAAGAGCAGUAGGCUUGGGAGCUAACGCAAGAACAGCUUUGGAAAUGGCUGUUGAGCCAGGAACUAGGAAUCAAAACCCAAAAAGGCCCAUGCAAGGUGGAGGGUGUGAAAUGAUGCCCCAGUAGUGCAUGAAUGAAUGAGUCAUGGGCAGUGGCUCAUGGGUUGCUUGGUCAGUCAGGAACUUGAGCAAAAUAAAGUUGGAAAACUGGGGGAUGGAAGAGAGAGGUAUGCACAGACCUCUUGACAUGGGCAGAGCUUCAGAAGAUGGUGGUUGCAGGUUUCCCCAAAUAGAGAACAUCAAUAAAAAGGUAGAAAUUUUACAAAGAGACCAGAUAAAAAGUUUGGAGCUGAAAAGUGCAAUAACUGAAAUGAAAAAUUCACUAGAGGGGCUCCAGAGCAAAUUUCACCAUGCAGAAUGGAGAAUCAGCAAGCUUGAAGAUAAGACAAUUGAAAUUCUCUAGUUCAGUAGCAGAAAGAAAAAAAAUUAUGAAGAAAAAUAAACAGAACUUUAAAGAUCUGUGAGACAACAUCAAGCACAUGCACUUUGGGAGUCCUCAAAGAAAGGAGAGAGAGAAAGGAGAAGAAUGACUAUUUAAAGAAUAACUCCAAACCUUCCAAAUUUGAUGAAAAACAUUAUUCAUCCAACAAACUUGACAAAUUUUAAGCAGCAAAAAAAAUUAAAUUUAAAGAGGUCCACACCAAGAGAACAUUAUAAUCAACCUGUCAAAAGCCAAUGACAAACAGAGCAUAUUGAAAUGAAUAACAGAGAAGGAACUUUUCAGGUUCAAUGGAUCCUCAAUAAGAUUGCAGCCCAGUUUUCUUCAGAAACCAUAGAGUUCAGAAGGCAUUGGAAUGUUGACAAAUUUAGAGGUCAGAAAAAAAAAGACUGUCAUGCAGGAAUUGUGUGUCUGGAAAAACUCUCCUUCAG
RNAcentral lists this long non-coding RNA (2926 nucleotides) under Homo sapiens (human). RNAcentral's name for it is "non-protein coding HLA-F-AS1:9". Lineage: Eukaryota; Metazoa; Chordata; Mammalia; Primates; Hominidae. The record is from RNAcentral.